Gasterosteus aculeatus aculeatus (three-spined stickleback) is the source of this 574-nucleotide long non-coding RNA. NCBI's taxonomy places the organism in Eukaryota, Metazoa, Chordata, Actinopteri, Perciformes, Gasterosteidae. The record is from Ensembl.
CGCCGGGCAAAGCCCUACAGGUGAAUAACAAACAGGCUGCUGCUCGGGAGGGUCGGCAUCUAGAAUUGCGGGGUUCUUCGCUGGAGUCUGAUCAAUAGUCCGCCCGGGGCAGAGUUUGUACCCCCCCCCCCCCCCAAAAGAUUCGAGGAAGAUGAAGACGUUCUGCUCGGAGGAUUUUAAACCACAGAUGGAUGUCGUCAAGUCCAUUUGCAAGGAUGAUGCAUUACUUUAAAAAGAUAUAUAUCGACGGUCUGGUUUCAACAAAGCAUUGUUCUUCUGCACAGUUAAGGCUGAGUCCCGCUCGUUGAGCCUCUGAGACCCUGGAGAAGCACCGGAGAUGUUCCUCUAACGCUCUGACUAAGCCGCACGGUCAGAGGCACCACAGCAAACCCAAGGCGCCUGCAGACAACCAGAUACAUCGUAGGACGGCUGCCUUUGCCCUAAAUGGACAAUUCUUUCAUUAAAGUGGUUAAACGACACCACCCACUGCGGAGAGUGCAGCGCUGGAUUGACAGGUUGACCCGUACAAGUCGUCAUGUAACCGUUAUAGCCGGUAUAACACCUUCACGGACGC